Molecule: ribosomal RNA, 1502 nt
Filed under: metagenome
Description: bacterial SSU rRNA
Rfam family: Bacterial small subunit ribosomal RNA
Source: RNAcentral
AGAGUUUGAUCCUGGCUCAGAACGAACGCUGGCGGCGCGUUUUAAGCAUGCAAGUCGAACGGUAGAGGUCCUUCGGGAUCUUGAGAGUGGCGAACGGGUGAGUAACACGUAGAUGAUCUGCCUUUAAGUUGGGGAUAGCCUAUAGAAAUAUGGGGUAAUACCGAAUAAUACCUUAGGACUUUGGUUUUUUGGUGAAAGGGGCUUCGGCCUCGCUUUGAGAUGAGUCUGCGGUCUAUUAGCUAGUUGGUAGGGUAAGAGCCUACCAAGGCGACGAUAGAUAGCCGGCCUGAGAGGGUGACCGGCCACAUUGGGACUGAGACACGGCCCAAACUCCUACGGGAGGCAGCAGCUAAGAAUCUUCCGCAAUGGGCGCAAGCCUGACGGAGCGACGCCGCGUGGACGAAGAAUGCCGAGAGGUUGUAAAGUCCUUUUAUAUGCGAAGAAUAAUACCGGUAGGUAAUGAUCGGUAGAUGACGUUAGCUUAUGAAUAAGCUCCGGCCAAUUACGUGCCAGCAGCCGCGGUAACACGUAAGGAGCGAGCGUUGUUCGGAAUUAUUGGGCGUAAAGGGCAUGUAGGCGGUUACAUAAGUCUGAUGUGAAAUACUACAGCUUAACUGUAGAAACGCAUUGGAAACUGUGUGACUUGAAUCUGUGAGGGGUAACUGGAAUUCCUAGUGUAGGGGUGAAAUCUGUUGAUAUUAGGAAGAACACCGAUGGCGAAGGCAAGUUACUGGCACAUGAUUGACGCUGAGAUGCGAAAGCGUAGGGAGCGAACAGGAUUAGACACCCUGGUAGUCCAUGCCGUGAACGAUGAACACUAGGUGUGGCGGACUCAUUGACGUCUGCCGUGCCGAAGCUAACGCAUUAAGUGUUCCGCCUGGGGAGUACGGCCGCAAGGCUAAAACUCAAAGGAAUUGACGGGGCCCCGCACAAGCGGCGGAGCAUGCGGCUUAAUUCGAUGCAACCCGAAGAACCUUACCUGGACUUGACAUCAUGGGUCUACCUGUAGAAAUACGGGGUGCUUAUGCGCCCAUGACAGGUGGUGCAUGGCUGUCGUCAGCUCGUGUCGUGAGAUGUUGGGUUAAGUCCCGCAACGAGCGCAACCCCUGUCCUAUGUUGCCAGCACGUAAUGGUGGGGACUCAUGGGAGACUGCCGGGGAUAACUCGGAGGAAGGCGGGGAUGACGUCAAGUCAUCAUGCCCCUUAUGUCCAGGGCUGCACGCAUGCUACAAUGGGUGGUACAACGGGCUGCGAUCUCGCAAGAGUGAGCGAAUCCCUUAAAGCCAUCCCUAGUUCGGAUUGGAGUCUGCAACUCGACUCCAUGAAGCCGGAGUCGCUAGUAAUCGUGGAUCAGCAAAGCCGCGGUGAAUACGUUCUCGGGGCUUGUACACACCGCCCGUCACAUCACGGAAGUCGGUAACGCCCGAAGUCAGUGGCCCAACCCUUGUGGAGGGAGCUGCCUAAGGUGGGAUCGGUGACUGGGAUGAAGUCGUAACAAGGUA